UAUUGCACAAUGGGCGAAAGCCUGAUGCAGCGACGCCGCGUGAGGGAUGACGGCCUUCGGGUUGUAAACCUCUUUCAGUAGGGACGAAGCUUUUGUGACGGUACCUACAGAAGAAGCACCGGCUAACUACGUGCCAGCAGCCGCGGUAAUACGUAGGGUGCGAGCGUUGUCCGGAAUUAUUGGGCGUAAAGAGCUUGUAGGCGGUUUGUCGCGUCUGCUGUGAAAGCCCGGGGCUUAACUCCGGGUCUGCAGUGGGUACGGGCAGACUAGAGUAUGGUAGGGGAGACUGGAAUUCCUGGUGUAGCGGUGGAAUGCGCAGAUAUCAGGAGGAACACCGAUGGCGAAGGCAGGUCUCUGGGCCAUAACUGACGCUGAGAAGCGAAAGCAUGGGUAGCGAACAGG
This 402-nucleotide ribosomal RNA is filed under the name uncultured bacterium. RNAcentral describes it as "bacterial SSU rRNA". It matches the Rfam family "Bacterial small subunit ribosomal RNA", at positions 362 to 776 of the family's 1533-position model. The record is from RNAcentral.